AGAUCCGAGCAAUAUGGCGUACGCCAAUUAUUCGAAUAAUCGAGAGAUAAUAAAGCGGAAGCUUACUAUUCUCCUUUUCAUUCAAAAUAAAUUAUUAAAAAAAAUGGCUUUUAAAAUCAAUAAAUAAUUUGGAGGAGUGAUUUUAAUCUCAUAGAAUUUUUUAAGGUUUAAAUUGAAUGACGAAGAUCCGAGCAAUAUGGCGUACGCCAAUUAUUCGAAUAAUCGAGAGAUAAUAAAGCGGAAGCUUACUAUUCUCCUUUUCAUUCAAAAAUUAAUUAUUAAAAUAGCGACUUUUAGAAUAAUUAAAUUGGGGAAAUGAUUUUAAUUUUAUAGAGUUUUUUAAGGUUUUAAUUUGAUGACGAAGAUUCGAGCAAUGUGGCGUACGCCAAUUAUUCGAAUAAUCGAAAGAUAGUGAGGCGUACGCCUCCUAUCCUCUUUUCAUCUGAAAUAUAGAAUAAAAAGGAUUUGGAAUUUGUAGAACUGAUUUGAAAUAUGUAUGAUUAUGGUUUGAAUUAUUUGAAUUUGGAAAUUAUAUUUGAUUUUGAAAAGUGAUUUGAAAUUGUGUGAUUUAAAAUUUAAUCGGGUGACAAGAACUCGCGCAAUAUGGCGUACGCCAAUUAUUCGAGUAAUUGAGAAAUAGUGAAGCGUACGCUUACUAUCUUCUUUUUCACUCCUAAGAUCUAAAUUAUAAAAAAUGAAAUUUUAAAAUUGUGUUUAUCUAUAAAAAAAAAUUGAAUUUGAGCUCAAAAGGAAUUAAUCAAAUUUUAAAUUAACUAUUUAAUGUUGGGCUAAGAUUUAAAUCGUUGUUUUUCUAAACAAAGAAAAGUUGAACUCAACCACUUAUGAAUUUUAAUAAACUUCUACCUAAUUAUUUAAUUACAAAUACUAUAACCAUAGUAAACAAAAUGAAGGUCCAAAUCAUAUUGACUUUUUACUAUACUAUUUAUUAUAAUCAUUCAAAAUUGAAGAACUCAUAGAUAGUGAGUAAAUAAAUUAACUUUAAAUGGAUUAAAACAUAGUAGCUACCUGGGAGAAUCAUAGAAUAUAAUUUUUUACUUUUAAACCCAAAUGUGAAACGCAUAGAAACCACCCAAGCAGUUUCACCCAUAUCCAGAUAGCCAUACGAACCAACAUUUGAAAGUUAGGCUUUACGAAUACCGUCAACAAAAUUUCCAGAAGUUUAUCAAAAUCAACAAAAACUCCUACAUAAUAACUCCCAACAAAACAUAAUUUUUGGCUAUUAAAUAAAAAUCUGAUAUAACCUUUUCCCACAUAUAAAUAGAUUUGAAACACAAUUAAAUAUACCCUUUCCACCCCUAAAAUUUCAAAUUGUUACUCAAACUUGCAAUGCUUAUUAUAUAAGCAAAUUCAGAUGCUAAAGUAGCAGCAGGAUAACGUAAUCAACGAUAGCUCAUAAGCCCACAAAGCUGUAAAUAUGGACAUGUGACCGAAAUCAAGUAACAUAAUAUUUUCAAUCUUACACUAUCAAUGUCAAACACCAAAACAGUAUAACCAAUAGCAGCAAGAUAUAUGAUGAAUAUUUACAUCUGAAACAAAUAAAUAAUGAUUUCAACACCCUCAGUCCAUAACAAUGCUAAAAAAUAACAGUACUAAUCCAUCCAUAACUUUGUAACAGUACUUAAAUAUAAACCAACGGAUAACCGAAUCGAAAAAGUGAAAAAUGCACAGUGAAAUGAUUUUCAGUCAAACCCAAAAACUCGACUUAAUCAAACGGAAAGAGUAUAUCACAAACCAACCCACUAUGUAUGAAUCGCAGUAAAUAAAUUUAAAAGGGUAUUUACCGCACGAGACCGACGAUGUGAAUUCAAUCCAUGAUACCGUAACGCCCUUUGAUGAAGCGUAACUCCGCGUAAACUCCGUUAGCUAACCACACACGCAAAACUUUGGGAGCAAACUCGAUAAACUCCCCUUUGCUGAACCGAGCUAAUAAAAAAAUGACGGAUUGGAAGUAACGGCGGAAGGUGCUUCACGAUUAGAAAACCAGAUGCGCAAUGGCGGCGGUCCUGGUCACGAUCUUGUUUGAGGCGACCUUGCCAGAAACGGACAAGUUGAAUCCGUCGGAAAUAGAGUUCGCAGAUGAGAACCGAGUGGGGNNN
This 2117-nucleotide long non-coding RNA is filed under the name Lathyrus oleraceus (garden pea). RNAcentral describes it as "Pisum sativum (pea) long non-coding RNA (PSAT_LNC038576)". The record is from RNAcentral. Lineage: Eukaryota; Viridiplantae; Streptophyta; Magnoliopsida; Fabales; Fabaceae.